Molecule: long non-coding RNA, 959 nt
Organism: Drosophila sechellia
Lineage: Eukaryota; Metazoa; Arthropoda; Insecta; Diptera; Drosophilidae
Exons: 3
Source: RefSeq, a predicted model, not a curated record
CAGGAGCACUUCUGGUUUUUCGGAGCCAAUUUGUCACGGGCCUGGGCUCUGGUUAUGACAGGUUUUUCGAACCCAAUCCACUCCAAUCCCAAGCCAAGUCAAGCCAAUCCAAUCUGAGCCGAGCCGAGAAGAGCCGAGUUGAGUUGAGUCAAAUGGAGUUGAGUGUAGCCGACUUAGCAUUUGCAAUUUGUAUAUUUUAUUAAUUAAUUUAUUGAUUUUAGGCCAAUUGUUGUUUUGCCUCUUUGCCGAUCUGGUAAAUCCCGAUCGAGCUGCCCAACCCCGAUCCCCGAAAGCAGCCGACCCGCUCCGCCCGUUGGCCAAAAACACACAGGGCACAUCUGUCCCGCAUGUAAAUCGCAUAGUUCGCGUUUAAAAAUCAGCCAAAUCAAACUAAAAUCCCUACAGAUCAUAAGAUAAAACCUCAAAUGCAAGUUAACAACGGAUCUUUGAAAACUUGAAUGAAUCUCAAUUCUAUGGCCACCAAAUCCAAUCGAAAUCCAUCUGCAAGUCUGGGGGCCCUGAGCCAAUUUAAGAUGUUCUGCGGCCAGGUGUUGAUUUUUUGGCGGCACUUGGCUCGAUGGGACAUACUAAUUAAGCUCCAAGAUCCGAGAUGCGAGCGCCAAGCUCCAAGCUGUGGCCAACUCACCUUGAACUACAAAAUGUCAGCCAAAAUGGCAAAAAUAAAAGUUAUAAAAUAUAAGCGAUGGCUGAUAUGCCAGAUGAUACAACGCAAUGCUGCAGAGCAUAAACCAGAAACUUGUUAAAAAUAUUAAUACAAAAAAAUACGCAAUGGGACAAUGGCCGCCAUUUCCAUCCCAGUUCCAUUAAGAUCCAAUCCAAAUGCAAAUAGCCAUGCAAAUGGAGCUAAUGGACCCGAUGAUUCCGGCAUAUUUCCAUGCCCAUCACGUAUUUGUGGGCCAGAUUAAUGCCGCCACAUAGACAGAUACAGAUACAGAUGC